AAGAUGGGAGGCGGAAAAGACUUACGUAGGCGAGAGAAAUAAAAGAUUGGCCAAAGACACGAAUCGAGAUGGAAAGAUGUUUUAGACACUUACGAGUGCUAACACGAGGACCAACCUACGCAGGCGAGAAUAAUAUGAGCUUGGCCAAAGACACGGAGAUGGAAAGACGGGUUCUGCCCAGUAAAGACACUUAUGAGGGCCAGUACGUCCAUGGUGUGCGACAAGGUCUUGGCACCUACAAAGUCACAAAGAAGGACAACGUGCUGGCCAGUUACGAGGGCGAGUGGAGCGAAGGAGUGCGCAGUGGAUUUGGCACCUUGAUAUUCUCUGAUGGCUCCAAAUACAAAAAGGCUUUUGAGAAAAAGACAAACACCACGGCCGAGGAGUCAUGCUUUUUGCCAACGGCCAACAGUACUGUGGCCUGUGGAAGUCUGGCCUUUGUGACGACACCACAAGCUUCCUGAAGCACCAGCGCCUGCUGUUUGCGUCAUUUCUUGCUGGGAGAAUGGAAAAGACGUGGCCAAAGGUAUAAGCGAGCUGCUCGCCUACGAAGGAAAUGUGGAGGAGGAUAUGUGCAUGUCUUUUGAAGUGUCCUUGGAAGAAUAUGGGUCCGAAAAUGCACGUGACCAACGAAAACAGGGCGGAGUUUGUGGCCUUGUACUUGGACUGGGUGCUGAAUGCGUCCAUUUACCGGCAAUUCCGAGCUUUCUAUCUUGGCGUUUGCGCCUCUAAUGCAUUAAUUAAUUCUUCUUCGACCUGAGGAGGUGGAGCUGCUUGUUUGCGGCUCUCCGACAGUCGAUUUGGCAGAGUUGAGAAAAGUGACAGAGUAUGAUGGUUAUCGACCUGAUGAUCUGAUAAUAAGCAAUUUGUGGGACGUACUUGAAUCACUCGGCCCGGAUAUGCAAAGAAAAUUUUUACUUUUUGUCACCGGAAGUGAUCGAGUGCCCGUGGGCGGAACGGGAGAGAUGACUUUUAAAGUGACCAGGUCAAGUGGCAACGUUGAGGACCUCCCUGAAGCUCACACUUGCUUCAAUCAGUUGGUGCUACCAGCGUAUCCCAGCAAAGUGAUAUUAAUUAAAAAACUGACAAUUGCUAUAGCAAACGCAGAAGGAUUUGGUUUGGAAUAACGAGUGAUAUUAAUAAAAUUUUAAUUUGUUUUAAUAUUAUUGCUACUUAUUUAAAUAAAGUUUUGCAAUUAUUGUCUGUUUA
Molecule: long non-coding RNA, 1209 nt
Organism: Neocloeon triangulifer
Lineage: Eukaryota; Metazoa; Arthropoda; Insecta; Ephemeroptera; Baetidae
Exons: 7
Source: RefSeq, a predicted model, not a curated record